GGUUAAGUGAAUAAGGGCGCACGGUGGAUGCCUUGGCACUAGGAGCCGAUGAAGGACGGGACUAACACCGAUAUGCUUCGGGGAGCUGUAAGUAAGCUUUGAUCCGGAGAUUUCCGAAUGGGGGAACCCAGCAUCUUUUAUAGGAUGUUACUUUUCAGUGAAUACAUAGCUGAUUAGAGGUAGACGCAGAGAACUGAAACAUCUAAGUACCUGCAGGAAGAGAAAGAAAAAUCGAUUCCCUGAGUAGCGGCGAGCGAAACGGGAAAAGCCCAAACCAAGAGGCUUGCCUCUUGGGGUUGUAGGACUCCGAUA
Molecule: ribosomal RNA, 312 nt
Filed under: Enterococcus raffinosus
Lineage: Bacteria; Bacillati; Bacillota; Bacilli; Lactobacillales; Enterococcaceae
Description: partial 23S ribosomal RNA
Rfam family: Bacterial large subunit ribosomal RNA
Source: RNAcentral